CCUACGUGUGGCAGCAGUGGGGGAUAUUGCACAAUGGGGGGAACCCUGAUGCAGCGACGCCGCGUGGGUGAAGAAGCGCCUCGGCGCGUAAAGCCCUGUCAGCAGGGAAGAAAAUGACGGUACCUGAAGAAGAAGCCCCGGCUAACUACUUUCCAGCAGCCGCGGUAAUACGUAGGGGGCAAGCGUUAUCCGGAUUUACUGGGUGUAAAGGGGGCGCAGACGGCGGUGCUAGCCAGGAGUGAAAGCCCUGGGCGCAACCCCGGGACUGCAUUUGGAACUGCUUUGCUGGAGUGCAGGAGGGGCAGGCGGAAUGCCUGGUGUAGCGGUGAAAUGCGUAGAUAUCAGGAGGAACACCGGUGGCGAAGGCGGCCUGCUGGACUGCAACUGACGUUGAGGCCCGAAAGCGUGGGGAGCAAACAGGAUUAGAUACCCCGGUAGUC
RNAcentral lists this ribosomal RNA (440 nucleotides) under uncultured bacterium. Its description in RNAcentral is "partial 16S ribosomal RNA". It matches the Rfam family "Bacterial small subunit ribosomal RNA", at positions 338 to 795 of the family's 1533-position model. The record is from RNAcentral.